AUUGAACGCUGGCGGCAUGCUUUACACAUGCAAGUCGAACGGUAACAGGCCUUCGGGUGCUGACGAGUGGCGAACGGGUGAGUAAUGCAUCGGAACGUGCCCAGAGGUGGGGGAUAACGCAGCGAAAGCUGUGCUAAUACCGCAUGUGAUCUGAGGAUGAAAGCGGGGGACCAAGCAGCAAUGUUUGGCCUCGCGCCUCUGGAGCGGCCGAUGUCAGAUUAGGUAGUUGGUGGGGUAAAGGCCUACCAAGCCGACGAUCUGUAGCUGGUCUGAGAGGACGACCAGCCACACUGGGACUGAGACACGGCCCAGACUCCUACGGGAGGCAGCAGUGGGGAAUUUUGGACAAUGGGCGCAAGCCUGAUCCAGCAAUGCCGCGUGCGGGAAGAAGGCCUUCGGGUUGUAAACCGCUUUUGUACGGAACGAAAAGGCUCUGGCUAAUACCUGGGGCUGAUGACGGUACCAUAAGAAUAAGCACCGGCUAACUACGU
Molecule: ribosomal RNA, 491 nt
Filed under: uncultured bacterium
Lineage: Bacteria
Description: partial 16S ribosomal RNA
Rfam family: Bacterial small subunit ribosomal RNA
Source: RNAcentral